RNAcentral lists this non-coding RNA (958 nucleotides) under Trogon collaris. Its description in RNAcentral is "partial 12S ribosomal RNA". It matches the Rfam family "Bacterial small subunit ribosomal RNA". The record is from RNAcentral. Lineage: Eukaryota; Metazoa; Chordata; Aves; Trogoniformes; Trogonidae.
AAAGACUUAGUCCUAACCUUAUGGUUAAUUUCAGCUAGAUAUACACAUGCAAGUAUCCGCACCCCAGUGUGAAUGCCCCCAUCUCUUCCUAACUCAAGAUAAAGGUGCAGACAUCAGGCACGCUCCAGCAGCCCAAAACGUCUUGCUUAGCCACACCCCCACGGGUACUCAGCAGUGAUUGACAUUAAGCAAUAAGUGAAAGCUUGACUUAGUUAUAGCUCCACAGAGCCGGUAAAUCUUGUGCCAGCCACCGCGGUCAUACAAGAGGCUCAAACUAACCAUUACACGGCGUAAAGAGUGGUAUAAUAUUAUCUGAAUAACUAGGAUCAAAUUGCAACUGAGCUGUCAUAAGCUUAAGAUGCACUUAAGACCGCCCCUCAAAAUGAUCUUAGAACACCAUGAUCUAUCAUCUACCACGAAAGCUAGGACCCAAACUGGGAUUAGAUACCCCACUAUGCCUAGCCCUAAAUCCUGAUGCGCUACACUCACCAAGCCAUUCGCCUGGGUACUACGAGCACAAACGCUUAAAACCCUAAGGACUUGGCGGUGUUCCAAACCCACCUAGAGGAGCCUGUUCUAUAAUCGAUAACCCACGAUAUACCCGACCUCCCCUUGUCACACCAGCCUAAAUACCGCCGUCUCCAGCUCGCCCUUCGCUGAGGGCCCAACAGCGAGCGCAAUAGCCCCACUACUCCGCUAAAAAGACAGGUCAAGGUAUAGCUAAUGGGGUGGAAGUAAUGGGCUACAUUUUCUAAAAUAGAAUACUCCUUAACGAAAAGAGGUGUGAAAUCCACCCCUAGAAGGCGGAUUUAGCAGUAAAAAGAGACAAUAGAGCUCUAUUUAAGCUGGCCCUGGAACACGUACAUACCGCCCGUCACCCUCCUCACAGGCUACAAAUAAAUUAUAGCUAAUGUGUCUAAAAGCCAAAGAUGAGGUAAGUCGUAACAAGGUAAGUGUA